CGAAAGCCUGACGGAGCAACGCCGCGUGAGGGACGAAGGCCUCUGGGCUGUAAACCUCUUUUCUCAAGGAAGAAGAUAUGACGGUACUUGAGGAAUAAGCCACGGCUAAUUCCGUGCCAGCAGCCGCGGUAAUACGGGAGUGGCAAGCGUUAUCCGGAAUUAUUGGGCGUAAAGCGUCCGCAGGCGGCUUUUCAAGUCUGCUGUUAAAACGUGGAGCUUAACUCCAUCAUGGCAGUGGAAACUGAAAGGCUUGAGUAUGGUAGGGGCAGAGGGAAUUCCCGGUGUAGCGGUGAAAUGCGUAGAUAUCGGGAAGAACACCAGUGGCGAAGGCGCUCUGCUGGGCCAUUACUGACGCUCAUGGACGGAAGCCAGGGGAGCGAAAG
Molecule: ribosomal RNA, 383 nt
Filed under: uncultured cyanobacterium
Lineage: Bacteria; Bacillati; Cyanobacteriota
Description: bacterial SSU rRNA
Rfam family: Bacterial small subunit ribosomal RNA
Source: RNAcentral